CAAACGUCCUGGACCCGGACGUGGACCUGGACCGAGUUAGAUCCGAGACCUGAUUUAACACGGUCACAUUAUUCCUCAAAACACCGGAGACAGAAAAACACAAACUGACGGUUUACCUCCGGAAACUCUGAACUCAAACCCAGGCAUCUGAUCCGGGACCAGCUCUCAGACCAGGACAGACCCGCAGAGUCCAGUAACAAUCAGCGGAAAUCAGUAGAAACCAGUAGAACACGUCUCGGAGCGACAGACGGCUCAGCCGCUUCUCUUCUUCUUUGACAGAUUAUCGCCCCACCGGCGCUUUGCUGCCCCCUGCUGUCUGAUACUGUUAUAGACGAGGGCAGAAUAGAAGCGAAUAGAAUAGAUUCUUUAUUGUAAUCAUAGGAGUUAUUAUUAUUCGUGACGCCUAAACAUGCUCAAAAACUCGCGAAACUUUGCAAACGCUUCAGACCUGGCGACCUCGUUCAUUGGCGCCAUAAAAUGGCUCCAUAGCGCCCCCUGGACAUACUCAAACCCCCCUUGCCAUUGGGCUUAGUUUGUCCGGGGUGAACGAAAUUCGUAGGCAUGAUGUAACAUGCCGAGACACAAACCUACAGGAAGUCGGCCAUUUUGAUUUUAACUUUAAAAAAUUGCUCAUUUUUGGCCAUGUUUUGGCAUUUGGGGACGUUGUAUUUGAUAAAACUUCUCCUACAGAUUUUAUCAUAUCAACCUCAAUCUUGGUCAGGAUACACUUAAGGCCUUUGUGAGUUAGUUAUUAAAAGAUUUUGUUGACGUCCAAGGGUGUGGCUGUGGCGGCACCUCAAAUUUCAAUGCCUCACCAUGAAACAGGAAGUUGCGUUUAAAUUGCUGUAACUCAGCCACAGCCAUUUGUUCAAUCAUCCCCAAAUUUCACAGUGAUGGUGAGGGUCCCAACAUGAACACACCCACGUCAAUAUUAACAAAAAGGUAUAGCACCACCUACUGGACACAGAAAAUGACAUGUUUUAGACUUUGACGUUCUGUUACUAUCAGGUUGAUGUGAUCCACUUCAGACUUGGUCAGGAAAGCCUUAAUGCCUUCAUGAUGCCUUAUAGUGAAAAUUUUGAUGUUCCAUUGAAGGGCGUGUUUUUGGCGCUGUGGUGAAAUUCAAUGUUUCGACAUUAACCAGGAAGUUGAUAUAACUCAUGCAUACUUUGUCUGAUCUGCCCCAAAUUUCACAGGUUUGACAACAGACCUGUCCUGACCACAGCUACAUUCCAGUAUACAGAUAUUAUCAUAGUGACACCUAUUGGCAACAGGAAAUUAUGUGUUUUAUCUAAGUAGCUUGAUCUGAUUCACCUCAGGAGUGAUCAGACAAACAUGAAGAUCAUAAUGGUGACUGUGAAUUUUCAUGGGACACCCUUGCUGUGUUGCCAUGGCGAAUUUUGAUGAUUUGCUGUUGUGUUGUUUUAACUCCCGCAUGCACUGUCCAAUCAGCCCCAAACUUGAUAUAUUUGCUAAGUGUUGUGGCCUGAACACAUCUACAUGCCAAUAUUCAGGUAUAGUCAUAGCGCCACAUGAUGGGAGAAGUAAGGGACUUCUGACUCAUUCAUUCUGUGUCUGGCGGUCAUGCAGUUGCAGAACCGCAUUAUACGACCUCCGCUGGUCCCCCAACGUGCCCAUGCAAGGUGCAAGGGCCCGUUCAAUGCUGCUUGCAGCUUUAAUUGUCAUUGUUAUUUAUCUGUUGUAUACGGUAUAUUUUCAUAUAUAGUCAGUGACUGUAGUCCAGUGAUCCAGGUUGUAACACCAGAACCUUUCAUUUCACUUGUUUCCUGUAAAAAUAAAUCUCUUUUCUUUUCUCAGAUGUUCGCAGCAUCAGCCUGGUUCCCUCCACAAAAAGCCAAUGGGAUUUUGUAAAAAGAAGUAAGAAGCUAAUGUUAGGCUAUAAACCAACUACACCACGGUCACAUGACGUCAACGUCUCCACCACUAAGCUUCCAACUGGUCAUUUCAUUUAGCUCUGAGCUCUUCUACAAAAGCCUUUCUUCUUAGAAAGUUAGUGAGAGUUUGAAAGAGUGUGAGUAGAAACACAACGAGGCUGUAAAGGUGGACUGGUGAGUAGAUGGGUUUUCAUGUUAACGUCCCAGACAACCUCUGUAGUCUCAUUUAGACACUCAUUAGCAACCACCUUUUUUAAGACACGUAAAAGCUUCAAACAUCAGGAGUGGGGGAUUUACUGACCCAUUUUAUGUCCCAGAAUCAAACCUGAAAAUGUCUUGAGCUUGUGUUAAAACCACAGACCUUAUUUCAGACAUUUAACCAGAAACACACUGACUCUGGAACGAGGGAACAGGAAGUGCUAACAUGCUAAUUUGCUUCCUGGUUUUAGCAUCAGUCCUGCUGGACUCUGCGUGUGAUAAUGAUACUAAUAACAGCACCACACACACACGCGCGUUCUGUACGUUAUCAUAUAUUCACACACACACACACACAGGUCUAAAUAUAAACCUCAUUACAGAUUCCUUCAUUGAACAAACAAUAGACUGAUGUUGUCGUUGCUACAGUGACAUCAUCAGUCUGUGUUGUCAUGACAACAGUAAUCUGAUGAGACUGAGCUGAUCAAUGAUCAGAAUGAUUGAUUGUCAUCUGAAGAGACAGAAACAGCUGAUCUUCACACAGACUGAGGUCCCCCCCCCCCCAUUGACCCAGCAGCUCUAUGUAGACCCACCUCGCAGAGUCUAGAUCCAGGAGGGGCCCUGGUCUCCCAGCAGCUGCAGCCUCGUCUGUCAAUCACCUCCUAAAAUAGAAAGCUGCAGUCUGACACCGACUCUCUCUCUCUGUCUGUUUCUAUGUCUCUCUGCCGUCCUCUCUCUCUCUCUGGACCUGCAGUCUGUCAGCAACACUCAGCCUCGCUCGCCCUCUCUCUCUCCUCCAGUUGGUGUCGAUCGCCCCAACACUGAGCCGAAGCUGAGCCGAGUUUAAUCUGAAACAAACAAAAACACAGAGACUCUGGGACCAGAACUUCUUCUGAACUGGAUCUAAACUAAAGACUUCUGGGGCAAUGUAAAACCGUGAAAUGUUCCUUUAAAGUUUGGUUUUAAUCCCUGAAACAAACAGAGACCAAGUCCUGCAACUGGACCAAAGACCUGGACCUGAUCCCGAUCAGAGCUGGUCCUGUUGGAACAGAAACACAAACAGUGGAAUCUGUGGAGGUUGGAGAAGACGUGAAACGACAAGUGAAAACAGCUGAUUCAUGUUUCAUCAGAGAUGAACGUCUGGAGUCGAACACAUUCAGAUUAAAGACAAACAAUGAGCAGAGGAGGAGGAGAGGUCUUCCUCAGCGCUCACCGCUGCCCUGAAGUCGACCUGCUGCCUCAUCACGACUCUGAGACACAGAUCCUUCCACUGUGUUCACAAGUUCCUGCAGAGAAUAGUCAUGAGUUCACCUGUACAGGUCGAUCAGAGGCGGAUUACCUGGACGUGUCCUCCACCUAUCGCUCUGAGGAGGAGGAGGAGGAGGAAGAGGGGAGUAUCAGUGAAUGGUCAGAGGAGGAUCUCUCCCUCCAUUUCUCUCCCUCCGUCAUCCUCCCAUCGGAUGAUGAAGAGUCAGAUCCAGAAAACUGUUUCAGGUGUGUCGAUGUUACCGUGGAAACACAGGUGACAGGUCAUGAGGGGGGAGGUCUAAAGAUGGUCCCUAAACGACAGAUUCAUCUGAAGAAGAAAGACAUGGAGAGCGUCACUGAGCAGGAGAAACCUGAGAAACUACAGGUGACACCGACCAUCCAUCACCGCCCUGAUCUGUUGCUACGGCAACACAGUAUGCCUGCCUCCUUCCACACACGUUCAGUGACCAGCGGUGACGUUGACAGCUACAGGGUCUACAGGGGCCUGAUCGCAGGAGCUGGCCAAGGUUUUCAGGUUGGAGGAAACUCUGCGGCGCCGAGGCGUCUGCAGAAAUCUUUCUCUCUGGAUGAAACUAAAGCAAAGAUGGCGUCCUGUAUCAUUAAGAACGUCCUCUCCAAGAAGAUGCAGGUGGAGCAGAGCAACACUAACACCUCACACCUGAAGAAGAAACCUGAGGUGUUACCUGUCCUCCCCCCACCUGCAGACCAGCAGAGGGGGAAAGAGGGGGAGGGGGUGGGUGGAGGUGCAUUUAAAGCUCCUGUUCACGUGGUGAGAGACGUGAGGAGUUUAGUUAAAAACACCUACAGCCUCUCGUUCUCCUCAGCAGCGACGCCCGACAACCACAAACCAACGAGCUUCAAGGUGAUUGGUCAGGAGGGCAGUCCCCCUCCUACCUACCAGCAGGCCGUGGGGGUCAAAGGUCACCAUAAGACAGAGACAAAGUCCCCCAAAGGACACGUUGCCAGAGUUGCUGCAUCUCUCAACCAAUCACACGACAGGAAACAGAGGGACACGUUGAGUCGUCCAAUCACGCAGCAGAGACGAGGCAGCGAGCCAAUCAUAAGCAGGAGGAAGGAUGAUGUCACCUGGCCUGUCACAUUAUUAGACUCUGCCCCUGCUCACCAUCCCAGCCAAUCAGAGAGAGCCGGAUCUAUGAGUCACCAGCCCUCCCCUCCUCCCCCCUCCACCCCCACACAUCCCCCAGAGACCCGGCCUUCCCCCUCUGCCCAGGAACAGAGCUCCCUGCAGGGUGUGUUCCCUCCGUCUGCCCCCUGUCUCUACACCUCCUCCACCCUCACCCCUCACCUGGGGAAGGUCAGCUACGUCCACACCCCCCUCACCUACCUACAGCUGCAGCCCCCCUCACCUGCCCCCACCCUCCACCUGCUGAGGAGGUCUGAGGAAAACCAGAACACCUCGGACCGGCUCGACCGCUUCAUCAAGACCUGCCCCCCACAGCAGACUAGGUCCACCAGAGACCGGGGGGGCCCCAGUGACACAGCGACCCCUCCCUCACAGAAUCAACAAAACCAACACCACCCUCAGCAACAGCCAUUUGUCUGCAGCGUUCAGGGUUUCUUACCUGCACAGGUGAGUGGUGACUUCCUCGUUGACAUCACUGGUUCUGCUGUUCCACCUAGAGCCGUACUCAACGCCCCCCCCCGCCGUCACCUGAUGUUUGACCCUAAGAGUGGGAGGUGCUUCUAUGUGGACAUGCCCCCUCAGCCUCAGAGGAAGAUGCUGCUGGAUCCAGAAACUGCUGACUGAGCUCUGGAUGAUCGAGCACUGAAAACUGGAGAGAGAGAGAGAGAGUUGGUGUUAGAGGUGAAAGUCCACAGAGAUUAACGACAGAUUAUUAACCACACACAGAAACCUGUCUCCAUGUGACAGGAACUUCUCACCUGUUCAAGUGUUUCAGCAGUUUUCAGGUACACACCUGCAGAGAGAGGACACCUGAGGAGAGGACACCUGCAGAGAGAGGACACCUGAGGAGAGGACACCUGCAGAGAGAGGACACCUGAGGAGAGGACACCAGGAGAGAGGAAAUCUGCAGAGAGGACAGGUGCAGACAGAGGACAGGAAGCAGUGACGGGCUCAGAUCUGAGAGGUGGAACUGACCUGAGGUGGUCUCUGGAACUAACCUGAGGGAAGACCAGGUACUUCACCUCCUGUGGGAUCAUUAACACCUUGAGAGUCAUCACCUGAGUCACCAGAUGAGUCAUCAGAGUCACACGAGUCCUCACUGAGGGUAGGUCUAGUCUGAUGGUUUCUGUCAGUCCAUAACCAUCGGUCUUCUCUGGUCCUCAGAUCAGGGUCCUGGUCCUUCAGUUGUAGGUGGAUCAAGUCCUGACAUGAGAACCUGGUUCUAGUUUCCUGUACAGGUGUGAUUUCCUCUCUGUGUCUGAAUUCAAAUUAAAUCUGAACAUUAAGAUCCUGAUCAUUCCUGACUCUGAUAAUUUCUGAUCACUGAUCAAUAAUCCAAUAAAACAGAACUCUUUCACACAUGCAGCAUUUUAUUGCAUUUAUCAUCUUUCAGUUUGUACAAUAUUACAACAAUAAACAAUAAGAAUAAUUUCUCUGUUUGUCACCAAAUAUUUGCAUCAUUUUCAGAUCAAAGAAACCAAAAACACAUGAGGACAGAGGACCAGUUUAAACCAGUUAAACCAGUUCAGACCAGUUUAAACCAGUUCAGACCAGUUCAGACUGGUUCAGACCAAUUUAAACCAGACCAGAUUAAAACAGUUUACUGGUUCAGACCAAUUUAAACCAGUUCAGACCAAUUUAAACCAGUUUAAUCCAGUUCAGACCAAUUUAAACCAGACCAGAUCAGUUUAAGUUUAAACUGGUUCGGACCAGUCCAGACUAUAGAUCCUGGUUCUCAGGUGUAUGAACAGAAAUGUGAAAUCUGAGUCUGUUUCCUCUGUGGGACCUGGACUCUUUUGGCCACACCCACUGAGGGGUGGGGCCAUCUGAUCAAUAAUCAACAAUCCACCUUUCAAUCGCACUGUCUGGAGCUAUGCUAACAGUCUUUGUGCUAAGCUAGGCUACCAUGUUCUGACCUGUUUCAAACUGCACCUGGCAGGUGUAUCCUCAGGGAAUGUGGUGCGUUCAGAUUCAGCGGUAAAGUCUAAAACUGAACUCUCUGCCACCUCCUGCAGGUAAACAGGUGACAUCGCUCUGUCCAUUUCCAUGGAGACCAGAGCUCACCUGAAGCCGAACACAAUAAAAACCAAGAGUCCUCUGAGAGCAGAUCGAUCACUGAUUGUUUGUUAAUGAUCUGACUGCUGAUUGGAGGACGCAAAAUAAAAUGUGAUGUCACCAAUCUGAACCUGGUAUCCAUGGAAACACUCAGUGAUCAGAUCAAACUGAUCAAUAUGUUUCCUUCUCUUUAUAAAUAUAAACUUUCACUUAAAUAAUCAUUGAUUAUCGAUUAUUUUUGUCCAAGUUAUCGAUCGUCUGCUGUUCGGACUCCACCCACAGCCUCUCAGCCAAUCACAGCGCAGGAUUUUCAG
RNA transcript from Lates calcarifer (barramundi perch), 6872 nucleotides. It is a transcript of the gene named proline-rich basic protein 1, with no coding region annotated. Lineage: Eukaryota; Metazoa; Chordata; Actinopteri; Centropomidae. The transcript has 7 exons. The record is from RefSeq and is a predicted model, not a curated record.